UACGAAGGGAGCUAGCGUUGUUCGGAAUCACUGGGCGUAAAGCGCACGUAGGCGGAUGUGUCAGUCAGGGGUGAAAUCCUGGAGCUCAACUUCGGAACUGCCUUUGAUACAGCACAUCUGGAGUCCGGAAGAGGUGGGUGGAAUUCCUAGUGUAGAGGUGGAAUGCGCAGAUAUCAGGAGGAACACCAAUAGCGAAGGCAGCUCGCUGGGACGUAACUGACACUGAGGCGCGAAAGCGUGGGGAGCGAACAGG
Molecule: ribosomal RNA, 253 nt
Filed under: uncultured bacterium
Lineage: Bacteria
Description: partial 16S ribosomal RNA
Rfam family: Bacterial small subunit ribosomal RNA
Source: RNAcentral